UAAGUUUAAAUGAAUAUUUUAAAUAAAUAAAAAACCUAAACUACUAAAACCCCAAAUCGUGAUUUCAACCUGAACCCCCAAACCUACUCCCAACGAUACUUCCUGUCCGGCGAUUCCAACCUCUCAGGCGAGGAGCGAGCAACUUCCUUCACCGUUUCUUGUCCAUUCCUGUCCGGCGAGCAACUUCCCAUUGAUACCUCCCAUCCAUUCCUGUCCGGCGAGCAACUUGCGGCUACAUCUCCAGUUCUGUCCGGCAAGAUUAGGCUUCCAUCCGGCGAA
Molecule: long non-coding RNA, 279 nt
Filed under: Zostera marina
Lineage: Eukaryota; Viridiplantae; Streptophyta; Magnoliopsida; Alismatales; Zosteraceae
Description: long non-coding RNA (ZMAR_LNC005527)
Source: RNAcentral